RNAcentral lists this long non-coding RNA (1551 nucleotides) under Salmo salar (Atlantic salmon). RNAcentral describes it as "lncRNA (ENSSSAG00000109262.1)". The record is from RNAcentral. Lineage: Eukaryota; Metazoa; Chordata; Actinopteri; Salmoniformes; Salmonidae.
CAAAUUAUGACACACAUAAAAUCCCGAAGCACCCCACCGUUGUGAUUACUCACUACUCGUAGAUAUUUCCUCAGCGAAGUAUAGCAGUUCCGUGCAGGUGUCCUCACAAGAUCCACAGCAAGCACAGUUAUCAAUGCAGACAGUACUCCUUAGCACCAACAGAUAUCCCAUGGAAACAUGAACUCGUUAAUCUUCCGCAAGCAAUUCUCUCCAGGUCUCGCACGAUGCUAAGCUAACCUCGAGUUCUCAAAUACCUCCAAGAUGCAACGGCCUCCAGUUAACCAGGUCAACUCUGCCAUUGGCCGGCCACAGCUUAAAACAAGCGACCUUUUUGGUCAAAACUUAAACUGUAAUUUGUUUCCUGAGGUUUCUGAACGCACCCUGUCUGGUUGCCGGGCGACGAAGCUAGGCGGGAGAUCUCUCAAUUACCCGCACCUGCAUCUCAUCAGCCAUCUGCACACCUGGUCCUGAUCAUCACCUCUUCUCUUCAUAAACUCUGACCUGACAUCCAUUCAUUGCCGGAUCGUUAGCAAUGAACAUCAUUCUCCCUGAACAUUCACCCCCCCCCCCUCCCUGCCUGGUCGUCGGUGGCUUCUGUGACAUCAUUGGAUCUGCCUAUUCACUCUCAUCAACUCACCUCCGCUGCCGCUCCGUCUCCUGGAUUAUUCUGUUUUCACCUUGACUCUGUAAAUAAAUACUCACCUUCAUUUUACUCACCUUGUCCUGGUCGGCUUCUGGGUUCUGCUUUAAAUAAUUGUGACAAUUACAUGUGUUAUUUCAUUUGACUGGUACUGAAUACUUUUUUUAUUCUUCCACUUUGACAUGUGUAGAAUGUUGGCAAAAAAUGACAGUAUGGCAAAAUAAAAAAUGAAAUCGUUUUAAUGGCUUUCUCCAUUCUCCAUUCUGAUUGUUUUAUACUCAAACAAACUAGGACAAAACUGACAGUGAAGUAGUCCAAUUUGUAAAUCUGUUCAUUUGUUUAGCACUGUAUCAAAACAUUGUUAUAGACUGUAUUGUAAAAAUCCAUACCGUAUGUGGAUCCAUACCAGGUAACUUAAAAUAGAAUAUAUCGCCCAGGUUUAUGGUGAUUUUCUUCAGAAGGUUGUGGUAAUUUGAAUCUAGAGCAUAAUAAUAUUCAGCCACUCUAGGAGGAGCAUAAUGGUUCAAUUGAAGAUGCUUGUUUCUAACUAUGAAUCUUGGACUGCAUGGUAGUGAGUUUCCUUUCUGCUUGUGUCUGAUGGAUGACCGAGCUACAGGUGAAGGAGCCUCUACUGUUCUCAGGAAAUCCUUUGUUUAAGGCAUGUUUUUCAGCCAUGUGAUCUCACACACACUCACUCCAUCUUACCCUGAGUCAACCAAGGGGAGUGGGCACACAGAGCGGAUCUGUGGCUGUGAACCCCAUUGCCCCCAAUUACACCACGUAUGCUGGAUUUCACUCAUAAGAAUGAAGUGUACUAUUUUUAGGUGAACUACAUAACAAAGAUAUUCAAUUACUUGAAAUGAAAUGUACAUUUUGACCAUAAAGCCUUGUACAACAAAAUGUGGUGUACU